Molecule: long non-coding RNA, 1346 nt
Organism: Rhipicephalus microplus (southern cattle tick)
Lineage: Eukaryota; Metazoa; Arthropoda; Arachnida; Ixodida; Ixodidae
Source: RefSeq, a predicted model, not a curated record
GCAUUUUAAAGAAGGAAUGCUUUGUGGCCUGCCAGCAGCUUCUUUUCAUCGAGGCUGUGGACUUUUCAGAGGCUACCUGUCUUUUACUUAAUAGGUACUAAAUUUUCAACUUAGCUUAUGCAGACCCUGUCUGGACAACACUGGAAUUUCUUCAUAGGUAAACCAUAAGACAUGGUGUGAUCGGCAAAAUAAUUUCCACCUGUAUAUGUUCAGAAUGGCUGGAUGUUCAUUUGGCAAGUAUAAUAGUAUGUAUGCACACUUCCUGUCAAGGCUAUGGACUGUCUCACUCUUUGUAGGAAGCAUAGUGAAUGCAAUGAGCUCAGCUGAGAAAUAUCAGGCUAUGUUACCACAGGAGGCGUUUUAUUGCUUUACUGUAAUCUACGUGCUAAACUUGAAAUGACACUGUUAUCUGGGGCAAUGCAUGCCACAGGAAGAUGUGCUUUUCACAGUGACAUGCUACAACAUUUGACCAGCUAGCAGAAUCGCAAUGUUUACUGACCAGUACCAGCAGCUGCUUCCACUAAACUGCUGAAGAAACGCAAGACAGAGUUCAAGCAAAGCAUGCACGACCAUGUUUUUUUUAAAAUAUUGCACGCAGUCAGUUGCAUUACAUUACAAGUUAGUGAAUCGAAUACACAGUUAAGUACUGGGUAAACAAAAACAGAUGUGCAUAUUUAUUGUCCCAGCUUGAACAUCUAUACAGGUCAGAAAAACAAGCCUCGUUACACUUUAUUUACAAAUUCACACAUCCAUAGUAGGCUUCUGCGAGUAGUGAAUUUUAAGUUCAAAGUGAAUAGUAAUUUAUCUGGAAUAAUUUUAAAUCGAAUUCGAAUAGUGUAUUUCACAUAUUAUAAAAAAUGGCCAUGUUCAUCGUCAUCCAACCAACUUGCACAAUAUUAUUUUCAAGUGAAACAAGGCGCGUGCAAAUGUCGGUCUUUUUGGUUCAAAGGAAGUGCAAUUAACUUUGAAUAGUGCUAGCAUAAUUCGACUUUCUGCAGAAUGCAAGUGAUAAGUAGUAAAAUAUGUUAGAUUUUAAGAUUUGUUAUACUUGGAGCAUAUAAGCCAGCAUAACAAUCUUUUAAAGUUGAAAACGAAAAAUUGAUUCGAGGGCAAUAUGUCAAUUUAACCUAUAAAAGUAAGGCUUUGCAGCAGUGCGAAUUAUUUCUGCAAAGAAGUUUUCAUGGCAUAGCACUUUUAUACAGCAGUGAAACUACUUUUUGCAGGGGAUUACCUGCACCUAUGUGUUGCACGUAAUUUUGGGCACAUAAUUUUCAAUAAUUUAUAUUGGAAUCAAAAUUAUUUAAAAUGCAUUAAUAUUCAUUUGAACAUUUGUCGUGCUCGAGUAU